This 536-nucleotide ribosomal RNA is filed under the name uncultured bacterium. Its description in RNAcentral is "bacterial SSU rRNA". It matches the Rfam family "Bacterial small subunit ribosomal RNA", at positions 774 to 1304 of the family's 1533-position model. The record is from RNAcentral.
AGUGAAUAGAUACCCGGGUAGUCCACGCCCUAAACGAUGAAUGCUAGUCGUCGGGGUACUCGUUACUUCGGUGAUGCACUUAAACAGAUUAAGCAUUCCGCCUGGGGAGUACGGUCGCAAGAUUAAAACUCAAAGGAAUAGACGGGGACCCGCACAAGUGGUGGAGCAUGUGGUUUAAAUUCGAAGAUACACGAAGAACCUUACCUGGCCUUGACAUGGUAGGAACCCUUAAGAGAUUAGGGGGUGCUAGCUUGCUAGAACCUACACACAGGUGCUGCACGGCUGUCGUCAGCUCGUGUCGUGAGAUGUUGGGUUAAGUCCCGCAACGAGCGCAACCCUCGUCGUUAGUUGCUAACAGUUCGGCUGAGCACUCUAACGAGACUGCCUUCGCAAGGAGGAGGAAGGUGAGGACGACGUCAAGUCAUCAUGGCCCUUACGGCCAGGGCUACACACGUGCUACAAUGGGGCGUACAAAGAGCUGCAAUACCGCGAGGUGGAGCCAAUCUCUUAAAGCGUCUCUCAGUUCGGAUUGUUCU